CCUACGGGCGGCAGCAGUGAGGAAUAUUGGUCAAUGGGCUUACGCCUGAACCAGCCAAGUCGCGUGAGGGAAGACUGCCCUAUGGGUUGUAAACCUCUUUUGUCAGGGAGCAACGCCGGCUACGUGUAGCCGGACUGAGAGUACCUGAAGAAAAAGCAUCGGCUAACUCCGUGCCAGCAGCCGCGGUAAUACGGAGGAUGCGAGCGUUAUCCGGAUUUAUUGGGUUUAAAGGGUGCGUAGGCGGAAUGCCAAGUCAGCGGUAAAAUCGCGGGGCUCAACCUCGCUCCGCCGUUGAAACUGGCGUUCUUGAGUGGGCGAGAAGUAUGCGGAAUGCGUGGUGUAGCGGUGGAAUGCGUAGAUAUAUGGAAGAACACCAGUGGCGAAGGCGGCUCUCUGGUCUGCAACUGACGCUGAGGCUCGAAAGCAUGGGUAGCGAACAGGAUUAGAUACCCGUGUAGUC
This 460-nucleotide ribosomal RNA is filed under the name uncultured bacterium. RNAcentral's name for it is "partial 16S ribosomal RNA". It matches the Rfam family "Bacterial small subunit ribosomal RNA", at positions 338 to 795 of the family's 1533-position model. The record is from RNAcentral.